UAACUCUAUUAUAUGAAUAAAAAAUUAAUAUGGACAUAUCUAAACAAGUGUAUACCUUCUCCUGGCUUCGUUUCUUUAUCAUUUUCGGAAAAAUAGAUAUUUUUAAAUGAAAAUUUCAAUACCUUUCAGAUAAGACAAAUUCCAAUUAUAUCGGAAUUUGUUGGGCAAAAAUUUUUUUGUGGGGAAGAGGAACAGGAGUUUCGAAUAAUUCACACAAGUUGACUUUGUUUUUUCAUAACUUACAGAAAAAAUGAUAUUUUUUAAAUGAAAUUUCUUACAAAUAGCUUUCAGAUGGUAUAUAUGACAAUAUCGGAAAUAAAUGUUAACAAAAAAAAAAAAAAAAAAAAAAGAUUUAAUGGUUUGUGCACACACGUACAUAGUGAUAAACUUCACUUAAUUUAUUAUUUUUUCAAAAUUUUAAGUUUCAUUUUGUAGAUAUUACAUGUGAUACGUGCCACUAUGUAUGUGUGCGCGUCCCCCAAUUUUUUCCCCCCACAUUAAAUUUCGAUAUAAUUGUAAUCUACACCAUCGGAAAGGUAGUUGUAGUGAGUUCAUCAAAAUAUUCAUUUUUCUGAAAGUUAUGAGGAAACAAAGUUGAUGGUGGGCACACUUGUAUAGGUAUCCCAGAAUAUGGUGACUACGUUUUUCCACAUUAAAUUCUGAUAUAACUGUAAACUAUACCAUUUAAUAAGUACAUGAAGAAAAUUUCAUUUAGAAAUACUUAUUUUUUAAAAAGUCAUGAAGAAUCAAAUUCGUGGUGUGGGGUUGCACACAUGUAAGGGUAUGCGAGAAUAUGAUGACUACGAUGACAAUAAAAAGGACAACAAUGAAGAGUUAAUAUAUCUAGGAAUAUGUUAUUCCGUGUGUCCUUUCUAUCGUGAGAGUGAAUUCUGAAGGAUAUUAGGAGACUACUUCUAGGAAGGUGAAAGAGACCAGCAGGAGACAAGGCAGUCCAUGACCUUUUACAGGGCCCUCCGAAACUGGAGGGAGGGAUAGAGAAAGAUAUCCUGAAACCGGAAACCUGGCCCGAAUGCUUGCAACAGACUGGACCCAGUUAAAAGAACUGAAGGUGCCAGGUGAUGGUGUUAAACUUGGCAGCAGGUUAAGUCUAUUUCCCACUUUUAGUAAACACAUUUCUUACCAAAUAUGAAAAUUUAUUUCAAUAAAAACACUGCCUCACUGUGAGAAGUAUAUACACGUGAUUCGAUGACAUGUUUUUACUCACUGUUGCAAAUAGAUGAAUAAAUAAAUAAAUAAAGCUUA
Octopus bimaculoides (California two-spot octopus) is the source of this 1263-nucleotide long non-coding RNA. RefSeq lists it as uncharacterized. The record is from RefSeq and is a predicted model, not a curated record. Lineage: Eukaryota; Metazoa; Mollusca; Cephalopoda; Octopoda; Octopodidae.